This 199-nucleotide long non-coding RNA is filed under the name Elaeis guineensis (African oil palm). RNAcentral's name for it is "long non-coding RNA (EGUI_LNC074083)". The record is from RNAcentral. Lineage: Eukaryota; Viridiplantae; Streptophyta; Magnoliopsida; Arecales; Arecaceae.
CCGCAUUUUUUUUUCCUGCAUCAAAACCUGUAAAUAAGUACCCUAUGCAGUCCUCAGAAAAAUUAUGAUUCCUAUUUUUAGAAACUUCAAAAAAUUCUCAAAUUUUUUGUGUAGAUUUUUGACUUGACUGAUAAGUGGUAUUUUAAAUUUCAUAAUAAUCUAAAACCAUUUGGCUCCCAAAAGUCCAUCUGGAAGAACC